This 981-nucleotide long non-coding RNA is filed under the name Pan troglodytes (chimpanzee). Its description in RNAcentral is "lncRNA (ENSPTRG00000053935.1)". The record is from RNAcentral. Lineage: Eukaryota; Metazoa; Chordata; Mammalia; Primates; Hominidae.
GGAGACAGGCUUCUGACGACGCAAGGCUCACAGCCAGGCCUGCGCUGGGAGGAGCCUCCCCUUCUCGCUCCUGUCCCUGUUGGGUCAGAGUGCCAGCUUUCCUCUUCCCUCUCCUCGGGGUCUUUUCGGCCCCUCAGUCCCCAUAUUCCUCUGCCCUAGCUCCCAAGAUCCCACAAGAGACAGACUGGAUUCUCUCUGGCCUAGAGUGCCACCUUCCUGAAAGUCAGAAUCUGAUUGGUCCAGCUGGAUCAGGUGUCCUCUCCCUGUCCAACCAUCAAUGCCCAGAGGGAUUACGGAGAGAAAAACAUGGCUCCCACCAUCCCAUUGCUGUGUCUGCUUGGGCCACGGGAGAGGGAACCUUGUGAGCUGGGCAGAAUCCACCCUGUAGAGACUGCCUCUGGAGCUUGAGGAAGAGAUGACUGAAGCCAUUACAGAAGCAGCAGUAGACUCAAGUGAGGAGGUGUCAGAGGAAAGAGACGACCUGGGGCCUCUUGAAUUACAUGACAGUGGUAAGAAUGUCAUCCACAUUUCUGCUUUCCUGCCCCAUCUCAGACACUAACUAUUUGACUGCAGCCCCAGCCUAGGUCUCCCUUUCUCCAUCUGCACAGUGGACAUCAUACCACACAUGAAGCUGGAGCUGUGCAGGUGGAGGCAAGGCCAGGGACACAAGGGCACCUCCUGUCAUGGUCAUUUCCACACUGCACCUGGGUGGCGUUUGUUUUCAUAGGUACCUUUCAACAAGUCGUGAACCUCCUGGACAUCAUUGACAGCGAGUCAGCAAAGACUGACACGACAGGGGCAGGCCUUGAUAUGUGGAAGACCCUGGCCUCGGUGAUAAUCACAGAGAAGGCCACCACUGAGCCUUCUGUGGUGAUAAACACUCUCAUCCACUGCCUGCAGGUGCCAAAGAUUUCCACCCAGUGCAAGGUCAACAUUUACAACAUCCUCCAGGACAUCAUCCAGCAGGAGGGGGAGCUGGAG